Long non-coding RNA from Perognathus longimembris pacificus (Pacific pocket mouse), 1005 nucleotides. RefSeq lists it as uncharacterized. The transcript has 2 exons. The record is from RefSeq and is a predicted model, not a curated record. NCBI's taxonomy places the organism in Eukaryota, Metazoa, Chordata, Mammalia, Rodentia, Heteromyidae.
GGGAUAGCAGCCGGCUCUGGAGCUCAAGCCCCAGGACUGGCACAAAAAGUAGAAGUAAUAAGUAAAAUAAAAGGAGCUAAAAGGAAGAUGAAUUCAAUUAGCUGCCAAAUCCUGCAGUAUUCACUUUAAACAUGAUCCCUUAACUAGUGGACUGGUCUUCAGUAUUCUGAAUAAAAUUCAACUGUGAACCCCAAAUUAUACUGAAAGAAACACCAUCAUGUUAUUUCCUGACCUCUUUUGGAUCCUUAUUGUUUAGCAGACCAAAUUCAAUCUGACCAUGAAAACACAUUUCAUAAUCAAAUGCUACCCUACAUAUACAUACUAAUCUGUCACCAGACAGCAGAAUUAACACCUUCUUCCACAGAGAUCAGAUUCUUUACAUCCCUCUCACAUCAUGCUGGUUCCUACCACCAAGUUUUUUCUCACAUUUUCAUUUCCGACAAGAAAUGUAUAGUGUUCUUCUAGAGAUGCUCUUCUGCAGAUACAAAUAGUCCAUAUUUACUCAAGUCUUACUUUCUCCAAGAAGCCUCACUCCUAUAUUGUUGAUUUGAAAAUGCCCCUAAACUAACAGAUUGAACUCAAACUACAAGUACAAAUAUUGUUUGGAUAUUGCUUGGGAUAGUGCUGUUUGUUUUUUUAACUAGGAAAGUAUUCCUAACAAGAUAAACUCAGAUCAUGUCAUCUUCCAACAAAUGAGCUCAGAACAACAGUAUUCAAACUAUUUGAAAAGCUAAGUUAUAAUCCUGAUUUUUUAAAAAUAAGGUAUUUUGUAAGUCAAAAGAAUUCUAAUACAAAUGAAAUAAUGUGAUGACUAGGGUUUGCUACAAAAUAAAGCAGGGCUUAGAGUAGGAGGAAUAAAGGUAAAAUAAGUGAGGUAUACGUGAAACCAAAUGGGCCAUGAGUUGAUAAUCUCUGAAGCUGAGUAAAAGCCACGUGUUUCAGACCUACUUUUGUAGUUGUUUAAAAUUUUUCACAUUAAGUUUUGACAUUUCACAAGUCUUAUUU